RNAcentral lists this long non-coding RNA (554 nucleotides) under Manihot esculenta (cassava). Its description in RNAcentral is "long non-coding RNA (MESC_LNC004580)". The record is from RNAcentral. Lineage: Eukaryota; Viridiplantae; Streptophyta; Magnoliopsida; Malpighiales; Euphorbiaceae.
CAGGUUCGGCCGCCGAACCUCAAGUUUGGCCGCCGAACAUGGCAUGCAUGCGGAGGCACAUUCGGCCCCCGAACGUGGCCUGGACAGCCACUAUAAAAGGGUCCCUUAGCCGAAAACGGGCGAGCUUUUCCCCAUUUUCGGCCAAGGUGAGCUCUCCACCGUCCCUCACCGAUCUUUGAUGUUUUUCCUCUAGAUCUUUCAAGUUUUUCAUUUUUUUUAACUUUGUUUUGAAGAUUUGAGCUUUGAGCAAAGUUUUGGAGCUUUGAGGUUCAAGAACUCAAAUCUCUCCCAACUCCAAGUUUGGUCGCCUCUACUCUCGAUCUUCAAGAGGUAAGGGUCGAUCUCUAGCUUAUAUUAUGUUUUAAGUAAGUUUUAUGAAGUUCAUGGGGGUAGAAUGCAUGUUUAGGUUAUAGUUAUGUUUAUGGGUAUAAAUGUAUGUUCAUGAACAAUGUGGCUUGUAAUGUGUGUUUGAUGUGUUGUAGUUGGGGUUUAAGGUAGUUUGAGACCCCUAGGAGCUUGUAUGCAUGUUUUGGUUGAGCUAAAUGCAUGUUGGU